UCCUUCAGGAUUGGUGGCUUUCAUACUGGGCGAAUGGACAGAGUACACUGUAUGCCAUGGUGUAUGGAAAAGGAAACCUAAUUGUGGUGCCUGAUCCUGACUGGUACUUUACAGUUCAUUCAGCAUCACAAGAUCUCUGUUGAUAUUCUGCGUUCUUGUUAAUUCUUCACAAAUUUGGCACAACAAAAUGUUGGAGUCCAUUUUGAGAGCUCUGGUAUUGUUCUUUGAUAGAAAUCCAAUAGGUAAGUCGGACACCAAGUUUCUCAGCAUAUAUGUCUUAUUAAUGCAUUUAGUGCCUGAUUACAUUUGAUAUUUGAAAUUGGAGGAGAUUCUUGGGAGAAAAUCACUGUGCAUGUUGAUCCAUCUUGUACAAAAAGCUUUACUGAUAUUUUUUUCCUACCAGAAAACGUCUGAAUAUAAGAUCAUAUAAGCUUUUAUUCCAAUUUACGUGUGUGUGGAAAGAUAAAUGAACAUUCACUUUGCAGAAUGAUUUAGGAAUCCAUUUUUUGUGUCGCUUAUGAAACACCCUACAUUCGAUACAAAUGUGUUUCAAUGUUGUUGAAGAGUUGCUAAAACGUUGGCUGUGUCACAUAGUGUUAAGCUAGGUUGUCCCCUCGGAAGGAACUUCUUACAAAGACUCUCUACACGAGACAGGCUGUGUGUUUCUUUCUUUCAUUUCCCAUCCAUUUCUGGGGUCACAGUGCUCUGACAUGUGCCUAUACUUUGAAGUUUACCUAAAAUGGUAAUGAGAGUGGUUCAAGAUGGUAGAGUAGAAGGCUGUGUGCUUACUACCUCUUGUGAGAGCACCGUAAUCACAACUAACUGCUGAACAAUCAUCGACAGGAAGACACUGGAAAUCACC
Kogia breviceps (pygmy sperm whale) is the source of this 862-nucleotide non-coding RNA. The record is from RefSeq and is a predicted model, not a curated record. NCBI's taxonomy places the organism in Eukaryota, Metazoa, Chordata, Mammalia, Artiodactyla, Physeteridae.